RNAcentral lists this ribosomal RNA (253 nucleotides) under uncultured bacterium. Its description in RNAcentral is "partial 16S ribosomal RNA". It matches the Rfam family "Bacterial small subunit ribosomal RNA", at positions 524 to 776 of the family's 1533-position model. The record is from RNAcentral.
UACGGAGGGUGCAAGCAUUAAUCGGAUUUAUUGGGCGUAAAGGGCGCGUAGGCGGAAAUGUAAGUCAGAUGUGAAAUCCCGGGGCUCAACCCCGGAACAGCAUUUGAAACUGUGUUUCUAGAGGAUAGGAGGAGAAGAUGGAAUUCCACAAGUAGCGGUAAAAUGCGUAGAUAUGUGGAAGAACACCAGUGGCGAAGGCGGUUUUCUAUCUUAUACCUGACGCUGAGGCGCGAAAGCAAGGGGAUCAAACAGG